CACGAACCGUACAAACGUUAUUCGGAAUCACUGGGCUUAAAGGGUGCGUAGGCGGCCCGGCAAGUUGGGUGUGAAAUCCCUCGGCUCAACCGAGGAAUUGCGCCCAAAACUGCCGGACUCGAGGGAGACAGAGGUGAGCGGAACUUGCGGUGGAGCGGUGAAAUGCGUUGAUAUCGCAAGGAACACCUGUGGCGAAAGCGGCUCACUGGGUCUUUUCUGACGCUGAGGCACGAAAGCUAGGGGAGCGAACGGG
This 253-nucleotide ribosomal RNA is filed under the name uncultured bacterium. Its description in RNAcentral is "partial 16S ribosomal RNA". It matches the Rfam family "Bacterial small subunit ribosomal RNA", at positions 524 to 776 of the family's 1533-position model. The record is from RNAcentral.